CCUACGGGAGGCAGCAGUAAGGAAUAUUGGACAAUGGGCGCAAGCCUGAUCCAGCCAUGCCGCGUGAAGGAUGAAGGCCCUAUGGGUCGUAAACUUCUUUUAUACGGGACAAAACCCCCCGAUGCGUCGGGGGUUGAUGGUACUGUAAGAAUAAGGGUCGGCUAACUUCGUGCCAGCAGCCGCGGUAAUACGAAGGACCCGAGCGUUAUCCGGAUUUAUUGGGUUUAAAGGGUGCGUAGGCGGAUUAGUAAGUCAGUGGUGAAAGCCCAUCGCUUAACGGUGGAACUGCCAUUGAUACUGCUAGUCUUGAGUAUGGUUGAGGUGGGCGGAAUGUGUCAUGUAGCGGUGAAAUGCUUAGAUAUGACCCAGAACACCAAUUGCGAAGGCAGCUCGCUAAGCCAUAACUGACGCUGAUGCACGAAAGCGUGGGGAGCAAACAGGAUUAGAUACCCUGGUAGUCCACGCCCUAAACUAUGAUCACUCGUUGUUGGCGAUACACAGUCAGCGACUAAGGGAAACCAUUAAGUGAUCCACCUGGGAAGUACGACCGCAAGGUUGAAACUCAAAGGAAUUGACGG
This 578-nucleotide ribosomal RNA is filed under the name uncultured bacterium. RNAcentral describes it as "bacterial SSU rRNA". It matches the Rfam family "Bacterial small subunit ribosomal RNA", at positions 338 to 916 of the family's 1533-position model. The record is from RNAcentral.